GGGCCCGCACAAGCGGUGGAGCAUGUGGUUUAAUUCGAUGCAACGCGAAGAACCUUACCAGGGCUUGACAUACUACGAAUUUUCUUGAAAGAGAAAAGUGCCUUCGGGAAUGUAGAUACAGGUGGUGCAUGGCUGUCGUCAGCUCGUGUCGUGAGAUGUUGGGUUAAGUCCCGCAACGAGCGCAACCCUUAUUUUUAGUUACCAAUUCGUUGGGUUCUCUAGAAAGACUGCCGGUGACAAACCGGAGGAAGGUGAGGAUGACGUCAAGUCAGCAUGCCCCUUAUGUCCUGGGCUACACACGUGCUACAAUGGUUAAGACAAAGAGUUGCGAGCUUGUAAAAGUCAGCUAAUCUCGUAAACUUAGCCUAAGUUCAGAUUGUAGGCUGCAACUCGCCUGCAUGAAGUUGGAAUCGCUAGUAA
This 420-nucleotide ribosomal RNA is filed under the name uncultured bacterium. Its description in RNAcentral is "bacterial SSU rRNA". It matches the Rfam family "Bacterial small subunit ribosomal RNA", at positions 917 to 1341 of the family's 1533-position model. The record is from RNAcentral.